CUGGCGGUCUUUUGGCCGUCCGAGUUGUAAUUUAGAGAAGCGUCUUCCGCGCCGGACUGUGCACAAGUCUCCUGGAAUGGAGCGUCAUAGAGGGUGAGAAUCCCGUCUUUGGCACAGACACCCGGGGCUUCUGUGAUGCGCUCUCGAAGAGUCGAGUUGUUUGGGAAUGCAGCUCAAAAUGGGUGGUGAACUCCAUCUAAAGCUAAAUAUUGGCGAGAGACCGAUAGCGAACAAGUACCGUGAGGGAAAGAUGAAAAGCACUUUGGAAAGAGAGUGAAACAGUACGUGAAAUUGUUGAAAGGGAAACGCUUGAAGUCAGUCGCGUUGACCGAGACUCAGCCUCGCCUCGGCUUGGUGCACUUCUCGGCUGACGGGCCAGCAUCAAUUUUGCCCCUCGGAUAAUGGCAAGGGAAAGGUGGCACCUUCACCGGUGUGUUAUAGUCUCCUGUCGCAUGCGUGGGGUGGGAUUGAGGAACUCAGCAUGCGCUCUCUUGGCGUCGGGGCUUAGGCCCACGUUUACAUGCUUAGGAUGUUGGCGUAAUGGCUUUAAACGACCCGUCUUGAAACACGGACCAAGGAGUCUAACAUGCCCGCGAGUGUUCGGGUGGAAAACCCGUGUGCGUAAUGAAAGUGAAAGUUGGGACCUCUGUCGUGGAGGGCACCGAUGCCCGGACCAGACCUUCUGUGACGGAUCUGCGGUARAGCGUGCAUGUUGGGACCCGAAAGAUGGUGAACUAUGCCUGAAUAGGGUGAAGUCAGAGGAAACUCUGGUGGAGGCUCGUAGCGAUUCUGACG
Molecule: ribosomal RNA, 795 nt
Filed under: Lactifluus austropiperatus
Lineage: Eukaryota; Fungi; Basidiomycota; Agaricomycetes; Russulales; Russulaceae
Description: partial large subunit ribosomal RNA
Source: RNAcentral